GGCGAACGGGUGAGUAAUACGUGAGUAACCUGCCCUUGACUCUGGGAUAAGCCUGGGAAACUGGGUCUAAUACUGGAUACUACCUCUUACCGCAUGGUGGGUGGUGGAAAGGGUUUUACUGGUUUUGGAUGGGCUCACGGCCUAUCAGCUUGUUGGUGGGGUAAUGGCUCACCAAGGCGACGACGGGUAGCCGGCCUGAGAGGGUGACCGGCCACACUGGGACUGAGACACGGCCCAGACUCCUACGGGAGGCAGCAGUGGGGAAUAUUGCACAAUGGGCGGAAGCCUGAUGCAGCGACGCCGCGUGAGGGAUGACGGCCUUCGGGUUGUAAACCUCUUUCAGUAGGGAAGAAGCGAGAGUGACGGUACCUGCAGAAGAAGCGCCGGCUAACUACGUGCCAGCAGCCGCGGUAAUACGUAGGGCGCANGCGUUGUCCGGAAUUAUUGGGCGUAAAGAGCUCGUANGCGGUUUGUCGCGUCUGCUGUGAAAGCCCGGGGCUCAACCCCGGGNUCUGCAGUGGGUACGGGCAGACUAGAGUGCAGUAGGGGAGACUGGAAUUCCUGGUGUAGCGGUGAAAUGCGCAGAUAUCAGGAGGAACACCGAUGGCGAAGGCAGGUCUCUGGGCUGUUACUGACGCUGAGGAGCGAAAGCAUGGGGAGCGAACAGGAUUAGAUACCCUGGUAGUCCAUGCCGUAAACGUUGGGCACUAGGUGUGGGGGACAUUCCACGUUUUCCGCGCCGUAGCUAACGCAUUAAGUGCCCCGCCUGGGGAGUACGGCCGCAAGGCUAAAACUCAAAGGAAUUGANGGGGGCCCGCACNAGCGGCGGAGCAUGCGGAUUAAUUNGAUGCAACGCGAAGAACCUUNNCAAGGCUUGACAUUCACCGGACCGCCCCAGAGAUGGGGUUUCCCUUNGGGGCUGGUGGACAGGUGGUGCAUGGUUGUNGUCAGCUCGUGUCGUGAGAUGUUGGGUUAAGUCCCGCAACGAGCGCAACCCUCNUUNUAUGUUGCCAGCACGUGAUGGUGGGGACUCAUAGGAGACUGCCGGGGUCAACUCGGAGGAAGGUGGGGAUGACGUCAAAUCAUCAUGCCCCUUAUGUCUUGGGCUUCACGCAUGCUACAAUGGCCGGUACAAAGGGNUGCGAUACUGUGAGGUGGAGCUAAUCCCAAAAAGCCGGUCUCAGUUCGGAUUGAGGUCUGCAACUCGACCUCAUGAAGUNGGAGUCGCUAGUAAUCGCAGAUCAGCAACGCUGCGGUGAAUACGUUCCCGGGCNUNNUACACACCNCCCGUCAAGUCACGAAAGUUGGUAAC
Molecule: ribosomal RNA, 1312 nt
Filed under: Kocuria sp.
Lineage: Bacteria; Bacillati; Actinomycetota; Actinomycetes; Micrococcales; Micrococcaceae
Description: bacterial SSU rRNA
Rfam family: Bacterial small subunit ribosomal RNA
Source: RNAcentral